Molecule: ribosomal RNA, 390 nt
Filed under: uncultured bacterium
Lineage: Bacteria
Description: bacterial SSU rRNA
Rfam family: Bacterial small subunit ribosomal RNA
Source: RNAcentral
GACGAACGCUGGCGGCGUGCUUAACACAUGCAAGUCGAGCGGUAAGGCCCUUUCGGGGGUACGACGAGCGGCGAACGGGUGAGUAACACGUGGGUGACCUGCCCUCAGCUCUGGGAUAAGCCUGGGAAACCGGGUCUAAUACUGGAUAUGACUCCAUGACGCAUGUUGUGGGGUGGAAAGCCUUGUGCGGCUGAGGAUGGGCCCGCGGCCUAUCAGCUUGUUGGUGGGGUGAUGGCCUACCAAGGCGACGACGGGUAGCCGGCCUGAGAGGGCGACCGGCCACACUGGGACUGAGACACGGCCCAGACUCCUACGGGAGGCAGCAGUGGGGAAUCUUGCGCAAAUGGGCGAAAGCCUGACGCAGCGACGCCGCGUGAGGGAUGACGGCCU